UGAGUAACACGUGGGGAACCUGCCCCAUAGUCUGGGAUACCACUUGGAAACAGGUGCUAAUACCGGAUAAGAAAGCGGAUCGCAUGAUCAGCUUUUAAAAGGCGGCGUAAGCUGUCGCUAUGGGAUGGCCCCGCGGUGCAUUAGCUAGUUGGUAAGGUAACGGCUUACCAAGGCAGCGAUGCGUAGCCGACCUGAGAGGGUGAUCGGCCACACUGGAACUGAGACACGGUCCAGACUCCUACGGGAGGCAGCAGGG
This 256-nucleotide ribosomal RNA is filed under the name uncultured Lactobacillus sp. Its description in RNAcentral is "partial 16S ribosomal RNA". It matches the Rfam family "Bacterial small subunit ribosomal RNA", at positions 107 to 354 of the family's 1533-position model. Lineage: Bacteria; Bacillati; Bacillota; Bacilli; Lactobacillales; Lactobacillaceae. The record is from RNAcentral.